This is a long non-coding RNA of Branchiostoma floridae (Florida lancelet), 498 nucleotides long. RefSeq lists it as uncharacterized. Lineage: Eukaryota; Metazoa; Chordata; Leptocardii; Amphioxiformes; Branchiostomatidae. The transcript has 2 exons. The record is from RefSeq and is a predicted model, not a curated record.
UCCGACUAUUUCCUUAUUUGGGGAGCGUUUUUGUCAUGCGCAGAAGUCUGCAUCUUUUAGAGAAAGAAAUGGCGGACAUUUUGGUGUUUAUCUGAUCGUCGUAGGACAAUCAUGGGUCGCAAACUGCUGGGGAAGGGAAGGCCACUCAAUCGACGUCAUAGAGCAUACAGCUUUGCCGAAAAGGCCACAUAGUCUGAAUAAAAAAAUUCACGCAACUGAAGCAAGAGUAGUAAUCAUCGUGUUCUAUUUUUAUAAACUGUAACGUUAUUUCUAAAUAGAAUAAGUAACGGUUAUAUCUUGUAAAUCUCCGAGUCGGUAUCAGACUUGACGGUAGCGAUGAAUAAAGAUCCCCCUCCCCACCGUUUAUUUAUUUCCGCUACGCAAGCAAAGUAUGAACAAGGACGUCCUUGUUAUGAACGGGUCUUGAAGGUAAGAAUUUUUUUUAUAAGGAUGCUCUUAAAAUACAAAAUUGUUUUAAAAAUAAACUUCUAACAUUAA